Molecule: ribosomal RNA, 512 nt
Filed under: Melikaiella tumifica
Lineage: Eukaryota; Metazoa; Arthropoda; Insecta; Hymenoptera; Cynipidae
Description: partial 28S ribosomal RNA
Rfam family: Eukaryotic large subunit ribosomal RNA
Source: RNAcentral
CCAAGGAGUCUAACAUGUGCGCGAGUCAUUGGGACCGCAAAACCUAAAGGCAUAAUGAAAGUGAAGGUCGACCUUGCGUCGACUGAGGGAGGAUGGGUUGCGUUACGAUGCAGCCCCGCACUCCCGGGGCGUCUCGUACUCAUUGCGAGUAGAGGCGCACCCAGAGCGUACACGUUGGGACCCGAAAGAUGGUGAACUAUGCCUGGUCAGGACGAAGUCAGGGGAAACCCUGAUGGAGGUCCGUAGCGAUUCUGACGUGCAAAUCGAUCGUCGGAACUGGGUAUAGGGGCGAAAGACUAAUCGAACCAUCUAGUAGCUGGUUCCCUCCGAAGUUUCCCUCAGGAUAGCUGGCACUCGCGUGAGUGAGUCUCAUCUGGUAAAGCGAAUGAUUAGAGGCCUUGGGGCCGAAACGACCUCAACCUAUUCUCAAACUUUAAAUGGGUGAGAUCUCUGGCUUGCUUAAACAGUGAAGCCACGAGAUUUCGGAUCAGAGUGCCAAGUGGGCCAAUUUU